This is a long non-coding RNA of Phragmites australis (common reed), 1034 nucleotides long. RefSeq lists it as uncharacterized. The record is from RefSeq and is a predicted model, not a curated record. NCBI's taxonomy places the organism in Eukaryota, Viridiplantae, Streptophyta, Magnoliopsida, Poales, Poaceae. The transcript is spliced from 2 exons.
GUUUUCUUUGCACCUUUUCCUUUUUGUUUCUCCCCUCUGGCUAUCAAUCGAUGUGGGCGAUCAUACCGCUUUUCGUUCUCUUGUUCAUACGGCGUCAGGCGCCAGGGUGCAGGACGGGAAAUGAGAUGAGGGCAGGAGGAGGAGGAUGCUUGCACGCAACAGCGCGCAAGAUUACGUUUGGAUCCUGGCGCCGCGAUUGGAGCCCCCACCACUAAUCAAAGGUAGCUAGGCAGGCCGAAGCCGUAAUGACGCGACCCACAGAAUAGGCAUAGGCAUCGUGCUAAUCGCCAUCAUGUCUGGUGAUUAGCAGUGGCUGGAGAAUAAUCUCCAUGAUUAUUCUCUCGUACAUCCUUGGGCAGGAAAAGGUAAUAGAUGUAAUGUAGUGGCCGAUGGCAGGAUGACCGAGGCCAAACGGGAUGGUUGGUGCCGCACGAUCGAGGAGACUGGACAGUGUCAAAGGUAAUCCUAGUUGUACAUGUGGAGGUCAAGCAAAACAUGAAAGAUGGAUGAAGAUGGCGUGUUGAUAAAGUCAAGCAAAAUGAAUACCAGUGUAAGUGACAAGGUAGCCCGAGGGAUUGGGAGCGGGAGAGAUUUGCCAACGGUCAAGAUCGUAAGAUAGAGUACACGUACCGACAUCGGGAUGCUUGCUUGAGGUCAAGUAAGUGGCAAUAAGUCAUGCUUUGAGAAGUAUGCAAGGGGUUUUGCGGUUUGGCCUCAAAAUCAUAGGAAGAAUGGAGGUGCACGCGACAUAAUACCCUUGAUGGUAGAUAGAAAUGUACUACAAGAAAUGAGUAUUUUAGGAACAAGCUAGAAAAUUUAGGGUCAAGUAAUCUAAGUUAUAAAUAGAGAGGUAGUACUAUGUGGGAGAUGUGAACUAAUCACUCGAGCCUCUUAAAUUAUUCAUAUGAGAGUUUUGUGCUAUGGUUUUAAAUGAGAGGAAUAUGAGUGCUUAGCCUAUAUAUCAUGUUAGAGUUUUGUAAGAGAAAAUCUUUAUAAUCCGCUUAAAAUAGAGCUUAUCUCUGCAAGCAAUAAAA